This 424-nucleotide ribosomal RNA is filed under the name uncultured bacterium. RNAcentral's name for it is "bacterial SSU rRNA". It matches the Rfam family "Bacterial small subunit ribosomal RNA", at positions 957 to 1381 of the family's 1533-position model. The record is from RNAcentral.
CAACGCGCAGAACCAUACCAGCGUUUGACAUGUCCGGACGAUUUCCAGAGAUGGAUCUCUUCCCUUCGGGGACUGGAACACAGGUGCUGCAUGGCUGUCGUCAGCUCGUGUCGUGAGAUGUUGGGUUAAGUCCCGCAACGAGCGCAACCCUCGUCCUUAGUUGCCAUCAUUCAGUUGGGCACUCUAAGGAAACCGCCGGUGAUAAGCCGGAGGAAGGUGGGGAUGACGUCAAGUCCUCAUGGCCCUUACGCGCUGGGCUACACACGUGCUACAAUGGCGGUGACAGUGGGCAGCAAUCCCGCAAGGGUGAGCUAAUCUCCAAAAGCCGUCUCAGUUCGGAUUGUUCUCUGCAACUCGAGAGCAUGAAGGCGGAAUCGCUAGUAAUCGCGGAUCAGCACGCCGCGGUGAAUACGUUCCCAGGCCU